This 253-nucleotide ribosomal RNA is filed under the name uncultured bacterium. RNAcentral describes it as "partial 16S ribosomal RNA". It matches the Rfam family "Bacterial small subunit ribosomal RNA", at positions 524 to 776 of the family's 1533-position model. The record is from RNAcentral.
UACGUAGGGGGCUAGCGUUGUCCGGAAUCAUUGGGCGUAAAGAGCGUGUAGGCGGCUCGGUAAGUCCGCUCUGAAAGCCCGGGGCUCAACCCCGGGAGGCGGGCGGAUACUGUCGAGCUAGAGUCCGGAAGAGGCGAGUGGAAUUCCUGGUGUAGCGGUGAAAUGCGUAGAUAUCUGGAGGAAUACCGGUGGCGAAGGCGGCAUCCUGGACCGGCAUUGACGCUGAGGAGCGAAAGCUAGGGGAGCAAACGGG